GUGAGUCAUCGAAUCUUUGAACGCACAUUGCGCCCGCCAGUAUUCUGGCGGGCAUGCCUGUUCGAGCGUCAUUUCAACCAUCAAGCCCCCGGGCUUGUGUUGGGGACCUGCGGCUGCCGCAGGCCCUGAAAACCAGUGGCGGGCUCGCUAGUCACUCCGAGCGUAGUAGUUUACACCUCGCUCAGGGCGUGCUGCGGGUUCCGGCCGUUAAAAGCCUUAUUUUACCCAAGGUUGACCUCGGAUCAGGUAGGAAGACCCGCUGAACUUAAGCAUAUCAAUAAGCGGAGGA
Molecule: unclassified non-coding RNA, 289 nt
Filed under: Chaetomiaceae sp.
Lineage: Eukaryota; Fungi; Ascomycota; Sordariomycetes; Sordariales; Chaetomiaceae
Description: partial contains 5.8S ribosomal RNA, internal transcribed spacer 2, and large subunit ribosomal RNA
Rfam family: 5.8S ribosomal RNA (bases 1-71)
Source: RNAcentral